This 708-nucleotide small RNA is filed under the name Pongo abelii (Sumatran orangutan). RNAcentral's name for it is "retained intron". Lineage: Eukaryota; Metazoa; Chordata; Mammalia; Primates; Hominidae. The record is from RNAcentral.
AAAAGGAACCAAAUGAGCUGAUGGAAGAUCUGUUUGAAACUUUCCAAGAUGAGAUGGGAUUCUCCAACAUGGAAGAUGAUGGCCCAGAAGAGGAGGAGCGUGUGGCUGAGCCUCAACCUAACACCCCUCAAGCUCUACGGUUUGAGGAACUACUGGCCAACCUACUAAAUGAACAACAUCAGAUAGCGAAGGAACUAUUUGAACAGCUGAAGAUGAAGAAAUCUUCAGCCAAACAGCAGAAGGAGGUAGAGAAGGUUAAACCCCAGUGUAAGGAAGUUCAUCAGACCCUGAUUCUGGACCCAGCACAGAGGAAGAGACUCCAGCAGCAGAUGCAGCAGAAAGAGCUGGGAACCUUUGCACAAAGCUCCAUCGCCCUUCACCAUCAGUACAACCCCAAGUUUCAGACCCUGUUCCAACCCUGUAACUUGAUGGGAGCUAUGCAGCUUAUUGAAGACUUCAGCACACAUGUCAGCAUUGACUGCAGCCCUCAUAAAACUGUCAAGAAGACUGGUAGGAGACAGAUGUGUCAGCUUUAAGUUUUUACUUGUGGUGAGAGGUGGUGGGAAUCUUAUCCCAUAGAUAACUUCCUAGGAUACUUGCCUAGGAAUGGAGGACACAGGACAUUUGUAAUUUCUUUCUUCUCUCUUUUAUCCUCCCUUUGUACUCAUUAUCCAAGUUCUAGAAUUACAUGAUAAUCUCUGGGCCUGG